Long non-coding RNA from Plodia interpunctella (Indianmeal moth), 885 nucleotides. RefSeq lists it as uncharacterized. The record is from RefSeq and is a predicted model, not a curated record. The transcript is spliced from 3 exons. Lineage: Eukaryota; Metazoa; Arthropoda; Insecta; Lepidoptera; Pyralidae.
UAAUGGUUUAUUAUGUACAUUUGACUCUCGCACCUGUUUCGGAUUGAAUUGAACUGUUGUUUGUUAUGUAAAGGAAGAAUACAAAUCAUAAAAUAAAUUAACUAAAUAUAAAUAGAUUAAUUAUAAAAAUUGACGAGAAAAAGUGCCUGUGAAAGUAUAAUUUCUGAAUAAAUGAUUUGAUUUGAUCUAGAAAAUUAUAAUACCGAUCUACCGGCACGUUUUCCAAAUAAUGGUGCGAAGUGGCGAAGGAAAAAUAGGAAAGCAACUCCCCGGACUCCGAAGCUACAAAGAAGUCUACUGCUGGACAAAGGCCUGUCCGUAAGACUUCCACAAAGAUCGAAUGAAAGUCAUCAGCGCGGGAAUGCUGCCUUGCUUACAGCUCAAAGUAGCCUCGGUUCAGAUGCCUCAGAGCUGGAGAGGCUACCGGGACACCAUUCAGAUGAUCACGAGACUCUGUCUGAAGAAAAUUUGACUAAAAAGUGUUUAAAAAACAAUUUAUUAUUAUUAUCUACCAUCACACCUAAUGCGAUAGUGUAGACUUAUACCUAACUAAAAUUAUUUACACAUUUUACAGUAAAAAGUAUCUUUUGGAACCCACUCAAUAAGCACAGGAAUAUAUCCAAUAGCUUAUGCACCGAAUCAAUGACGCGAAUUAUUCGCGCGACAGACAUUAUUCCCAGCAAGCUAAACCUAGCUACGGGCACUACCAGCAACUACCGUUUGCAAUGACGCAAAACUAUAUUGAUUUUAAAAUUAUUUAUUGUUUUAAUGUUUUUUAAUUACUAUAUCAGUUUAAUUAUAUCUUUUUUUAUUUAAAAAAAAUCCUUAUCAGCCACUGGACUAUAGCGAGCGCUGGAUAUGAGACUUCUGGAGCUAUUCCAAUUA